Molecule: long non-coding RNA, 990 nt
Filed under: Olea europaea subsp. europaea
Lineage: Eukaryota; Viridiplantae; Streptophyta; Magnoliopsida; Lamiales; Oleaceae
Source: RNAcentral
GUGCUAUUUCUCUUAAUAAAAUUCAUCUUUUAAGAUGAAAUCCGAAGUCUUAACAAUUAGUGACAAGUAAUUUCUGCUUCGAGCACAACAAAAUUAGUGAAUCAAGAUAAACACCUGUGAGAUUACGCGGUGACGAAGAAGUUGUGUUUCACCAGAAUCAGUUUCCAUCGAUACUGCUCCAUGUGCAUGGCCAUGGGUGGCAUGAGUAUGAACCGGGACAACUCCUUCUUCGCCGCUAGCUAUUUGCGCCUUGCCUCUUGAUUCCUUGCUGUAAUAGGAGGUUGCAUAUGUGUCCACCAUAAGAGUCCCAAUGGCCGAAACCAUUGCGACAAAGCCUGUGAAUGGAAAAUCUCCCCACGGAUGGGCACUGAUACACGGAGAUGUCAAGUUUUCGAACGCAUCGGGAAGCACGUGGAUGAAACCCGUCGACAAAAUUACUCCGGCUGCGAAUGCCUUUAUAAUAAAGAAAAAGCUUCUCUCUGGACUCAAAGCUCGUAUCGUCUUCCCCAAAACAGGAAGACAAACCCCAAUUGCACUCGCGACGAGGAUUGAAGCAAGUGCAGCCAACUUAUAUUUGAGUGCUAAACUUUUGUUCCGAUCUUCCUCGUCGGCUUCACAUGUACAUUCGCCUAAAACUGCAGUCGGAAGUAGUACCAGGAAAGCCAAGAAAACCAUCUUGCAAAUCCAUCCACGCGAAUAUGACUGAAAAUUCAUUAUGGGAUGGUGGAGAUUCAAGAAUUUUACCUAAAAGUUAGUGUGCUUUUCUAUCAGAAUCGUGGGUACUCUUAAAAGUUCUUGUGUGUACACAAGAUUCAAAAAGACACGCAGUCAAAUAAGGGUUUUAAAAGAUUGCUUGUAUUGAAUGUCGAAUUCAAUGAAAUUUGCUUUCAAAGGUAAUGAAGAUAUAAUGAGGUCAUUGAGCCUGAUAUUUCUCUCUAUUUCAUCUAAAUUUCCUUAUAUUUUGAUAUAUACCAGGAAAGUCAGACAGUU